RNAcentral lists this ribosomal RNA (843 nucleotides) under Levilactobacillus brevis. RNAcentral's name for it is "bacterial SSU rRNA". It matches the Rfam family "Bacterial small subunit ribosomal RNA", at positions 61 to 886 of the family's 1533-position model. The record is from RNAcentral. Lineage: Bacteria; Bacillati; Bacillota; Bacilli; Lactobacillales; Lactobacillaceae.
GUUGAAUGACGUGCUCGCACUGAUUUCAACAAUGAAGCGAGUGGCGAACUGGUGAGUAACACGUGGGGAAUCUGCCCAGAAGCAGGGGAUAACACUUGGAAACAGGUGCUAAUACCGUAUAACAACAAAAUCCGCAUGGAUUUUGUUUGAAAGGUGGCUUCGGCUAUCACUUCUGGAUGAUCCCGCGGCGUAUUAGUUAGUUGGUGAGGUAAAGGCCCACCAAGACGAUGAUACGUAGCCGACCUGAGAGGGUAAUCGGCCACAUUGGGACUGAGACACGGCCCAAACUCCUACGGGAGGCAGCAGUAGGGAAUCUUCCACAAUGGACGAAAGUCUGAUGGAGCAAUGCCGCGUGAGUGAAGAAGGGUUUCGGCUCGUAAAACUCUGUUGUUAAAGAAGAACACCUUUGAGAGUAACUGUUCAAGGGUUGACGGUAUUUAACCAGAAAGCCACGGCUAACUACGUGCCAGCAGCCGCGGUAAUACGUAGGUGGCAAGCGUUGUCCGGAUUUAUUGGGCGUAAAGCGAGCGCAGGCGGUUUUUUAAGUCUGAUGUGAAAGCCUUCGGCUUAACCGGAGAAGUGCAUCGGAAACUGGGAGACUUGAGUGCAGAAGAGGACAGUGGAACUCCAUGUGUAGCGGUGGAAUGCGUAGAUAUAUGGAAGAACACCAGUGGCGAAAGGCGGCUGUCUAGUCUGUAACUGACGCUGAGGCUCGAAAGCAUGGGUAGCGAACAGGAUUAGAUACCCUGGUAGUCCAUGCCGUAACGAUGAGUGCUAAGUGUUGGAGGGUUUCCGCCCUUCAGUGCUGCAGCUACGCAUUAGCACUCCGCUGGGGAGUACGAC